UAGAAUUAUAUACAUUAUUAUUAUUAUUAUUAUAAACAUUAUUAUGAUAAUGUAUAUGACAUGUAACGUGCUCUUCCUAAACGUAAAAAAAAGCUUUCACAAACACUGGCACAAAAACUCCCUUUCCCUUGCGGCUUUGCGGCGCACCCUCGCACUCCGCGCCUACCCUCUUGUCUCUACGAGCUGCUAGCCUUCGGUGUAUGUUGUUGUAGAAGCGAUGAUGGCGGCAGCGGGAUGCGGAUCAGCAACCGCGGCUGCCGUAGGAGGCCAGGGCGGCACUGUUACUGCGAGGGGACGUUUUCCCGGUCGGCCGUGGUCGUCUCGCAGUCGUUUGCGCUCAGAGAAGCGAUGGCAGCUUGGGCGAUCAGGCUUAGAAGCUGAUGAUGUGACAAAUGGAGGCCAAAGGCCCCAAAACCUGGUCCUAUCGUUAAACGAAGACCAGUCCCACUUACGCUUACUUGGGAUAGAAGCUAGCCAUAAGACCCUUGGCCAGGCUGGCUACAGCUCUAGUGAGAGCGAAGAGGUGAGGUCCCAGUCCCACCCAGGAGUGGACGACUUCAGAGGCUUUGAAGCUGAGAAAAAGGGUUCCAAAUCAUUGCGACAAAACCUUUUAGAGGUGAGAGCUGCAAAUCUAACAGUCAAAGUGAGGAGGUACCAGCUUCAGCCACAAUGGAUACAGACAUUUCCUCUUGUGAUCAGUCUGAAGGUGACAAAGGCUUGGUCCAAAUGCUAGGUUCGUCUUCUCAAACAGAGCCUGCUAAAGACUGUAAAAAGGAUCAAAACGGAAAAACACGAAAGACCGUCAGGCCACCAAACCUGCCGCAUCAGCGCCAAGGAUUACCAUAAAAUUGGUGGCUAAAAAGAAAACCAAAAAAGUAAAAGAGCUUCACAAAAAUCUUUGGAAACUUCAAAAGAAAAAGAACUUAAAGAUGUACCUGAAAUAAAGGACUUUGUGGACGAGCAGAUUUCCAGUGCACAUGUGAAAUUAAAACCUGAACCUGUUAAUGAAAACAAUAACACUGAAGAUAAGAGGGAAGAGUGUGUUCAAGUGAGAAGACGUGGAAGAUCUGCUGCCAAACCUGCAGAAACGGCAAAAAAGAACACCAAAGUUGUGGCAAGUGAACAAAAAACACCAACCAUAAUUCAGACAGAAUCUACUUGUGGCGAUGGAGCCACAGAUCCAAAAUUAACAACUGUAAAACACCAAGACAAUGCGAGAGAGUCCAGUUCGGAUGGUCAUCAACCUAGUACUCGCAGAAGCACUAGAGUCAAACCCCCAAUUUCUAAAAGCGUCACAGGCACUGUGACUGAACCAGCUAACUUGGUCAGUGUGGAGGUUGUUUCAACAGAUUCAAAGAUAAAUGAAGAGCUCAAAUCAACAACCCAAAACAAUAAGCGAAGGCAAAGUAAAAGGCUAAAUAAGGAUGUUCAUAAUCCAGACAUUCAGAAUCCAUUGACUGCAGAUGUAAAUGACACCACUGUGCAACCUACUGACUGUUUACAGUCUAAAGAAGAAACAGUUCCAAAAUUGAAAUUAUUACGGAUUAGAAAUCCUAAAUAUGAUGCUCAGGCCAGUGAAAAGAAUUUAACUAGAAAAGAAAAAAAGGAAAAGGUUCAUAUGGACUC
This is a long non-coding RNA of Neogobius melanostomus (round goby), 1626 nucleotides long. The record is from Ensembl. Lineage: Eukaryota; Metazoa; Chordata; Actinopteri; Gobiiformes; Gobiidae.